UUGGAGGGCAAGUCUGGUGCCAGCAGCCGCGGUAAUUCCAGCUCCAAUAGCGUAUAUUAAAGUUGUUGCAGUUAAAAAGCUCGUAGUUGAAUUUCGGGGUCAGUAGGUUGGUCGUGCCACUGGUAUGUACUGGUCUCACUGAUUCCUCCUUCCUGAUGAGCUGUAAUGCCAUUAAUUUGGUGUUGCAGGGAAUCUGGACUGUUACUUUGAAAAAAUUAGAGUGUUUAAAGCAGGCUAACGCUUGAAUACAUUAGCAUGGAAUAAUGAAAUAGGACGUUCGAUCCUAUUUUGUUGGUUUCUAGGAUUGACGUAAUGAUUAAUAGGGAUAGUUGGGGGCAUUAGUAUUCAAUUGUCAGAGGUGAAAUUCUUGGAUUUAUUGAAGACUAACUACUGCGAAAGCAUUUGCCAAGGAUGUUUUCAUUAAUCAAGAACGAAAGUUAGGGGAUCGAAGACGAUCAGAUACCGUCGUAGUCUUAACCAUAAACUAUGCCGACUAGGGAUCGGAUGAUGUUAAUUUUUUAAUGACUCAUUCGGCGCCUUACGGGAAAC
RNAcentral lists this ribosomal RNA (549 nucleotides) under uncultured Glomus. Its description in RNAcentral is "SSU rRNA". It matches the Rfam family "Eukaryotic small subunit ribosomal RNA", at positions 548 to 1098 of the family's 1831-position model. Lineage: Eukaryota; Fungi; Glomeromycota; Glomeromycetes; Glomerales; Glomeraceae. The record is from RNAcentral.